Molecule: ribosomal RNA, 379 nt
Filed under: uncultured bacterium
Lineage: Bacteria
Description: bacterial SSU rRNA
Rfam family: Bacterial small subunit ribosomal RNA
Source: RNAcentral
AUUGAACGCUGGCGGCAUGCUUUACACAUGCAAGUCGAACGGUAACAGGCCUUCGGGUGCUGACGAGUGGCGAACGGGUGAGUAAUGCAUCGGAACAUACCCAGUCGUGGGGGAUAACGUAGCGAAAGUUACGCUAAUACCGCAUACGUCCUGAGGGAGAAAGCGGGGGAUCGCAAGACCUCGCGCGAUUGGAGUGGCCGAUGUCAGAUUAGCUAGUUGGUGGGUAAAGGCCCACCAAGGCGACGAUCUGUAGCGGGUCUGAGAGGGAUGAUCCGCCACACUGGGACUGAGACACGGCCCAGACUCCUACGGGAGGCAGCAGUGGGGAAUUUUGGACAAUGGGGGAAACCCUGAUCCAGCCAUGCCGCGUGCGGGAGAA